This 235-nucleotide long non-coding RNA is filed under the name Trifolium pratense (red clover). RNAcentral describes it as "long non-coding RNA (TPRA_LNC012843)". Lineage: Eukaryota; Viridiplantae; Streptophyta; Magnoliopsida; Fabales; Fabaceae. The record is from RNAcentral.
AUCAAACCAUUUAACUAGACAAAUGGUUUCAGUGUAUAACAUCUUGAAACCAAUUAACAAGACUAAUGGUUUCAGUGUAUAACAUCUUGACACUAAUGCUCAUAUAAAACCAUUUAACUAUAAUAAUGGUUUUGGUGUAUAACGUCAUGAAACCAUUUAACUAGACUAAUGGUUUCAGUGCAUAACGGUAUGAAACCAUUUUUGCUGUGGAAUGGUUUCAAAGAGUUGUUCUCCA